This is a non-coding RNA of Peromyscus maniculatus bairdii (prairie deer mouse), 695 nucleotides long. Lineage: Eukaryota; Metazoa; Chordata; Mammalia; Rodentia; Cricetidae. The record is from RefSeq and is a predicted model, not a curated record.
AUCAGAGGAUAUUUGUGCAUAUCCAUUCUCUUCUUCCUCCAAGUGGGUUCACAAUGUAACUCCAAUGAUCAGUCUUAAGACCAACCUUAGAAAUAGAAGUGCACAAUGAAGAUUGUAUAAACAGAACUGCUGAAGGGUACUAUCAAAACAACUAAGCUCCUGAAAGAGGCAGUAGGCAGUUGAUCUGCCUUUAGGAACCUCAGGCUCACUGAGCUGCCUGGAAGAAACAUUCUCCCAGCUUUACAGCUACUGGCGAUUACAUCAGCAAUCUCCAGGUUUCCAGUUUUUGUGAGCUGUCACCCAUCCUGGAGUAGACUUUUGGUGAUGCAUCUGUCUUUGAGUGACAUCUGCUCCUCGAGGGCACAGCAGAAUGUCUGAUGAUCAGAACAAGCAGAACUUAAACAGGAGACGAUCAACAUUGGGAAAUACUAUACAGACUGACAGAACAGUCAAAAAGGAACUACACCUCUAGAGUAUCUGAGAAGACUUCCACAAGGAAGACGGUCAUCCGACAGGCAAAGUGGCAGAACUGUGUAGCUGAGCUCCGCCCACUCAGAAGAGUUGUAACAAACAAGUGUCUACAAGCUGCCCAGAGAUGUACACAGAUGAAAAGAAAUCCUCCCAGAUUCUUCCACUUUCAUCCCCUCCCUGAUCCCCACAGGCCACCAUUGACUAUGGCAAAUUUUAUAAUUUGG